Molecule: ribosomal RNA, 747 nt
Filed under: Triticum aestivum (bread wheat)
Lineage: Eukaryota; Viridiplantae; Streptophyta; Magnoliopsida; Poales; Poaceae
Description: partial small subunit ribosomal RNA
Source: RNAcentral
AUGAAGAAGUGCGCGUCGGAGCUGGAGUUCGAGGCCUUCAUUCGGCAGCACAUCGCCGCCGCCGAGGCCGAGGCCCAGCGGGGCAGGCCCGGGCAUGGAAACGACGACGGCGGGUUCGGCGGUGAUCCUGGCGCCAGAGCGGACGUGUUCUCCCCCGGCGGUGGCCUGCCGGGCCUCUGCUUCGGCGACUCGCAGAACGCCCUGGAGCUGGAAGGGAGCAACGCCGGCCACCUGUGGUGGUCCGAAGGCCUCCGGGCGCCGCACCACACCGUCCCGGCGCCAACCCAGUCGCAAACGCCCGCCGUCUCCGCUAGCCCGAGGGAAACAAUCUCAGGGAACCAGGCUCUCGAAACCGAGUCGGACUCUGACAGCGAGUCAUUGGUCGAGAUAGGGGGCGGCCGAUGCAAGCGGAGCGGCAAAUCAUCAGAUACAAGGCGAAUAAGAAGGAUGGUGUCCAACAGGGAGUCAGCUCGACGGUCCAGGAGGAGGAAGCACGCGCAGCUAACUGACCUUGAGUUGCAGGUCGAGCAACUUAAAAGCGAAAGUGCAACCCUCUUCAAGCAACUGACAGAGGCCAACCAGCAGUUCACCACCGCAGUCACGGACAACAGAAUCCUCAAAUCAGAUGUAGAGACCUUACGAAUCAAGGUAAAAAUGGCAGAAGACAUGGUAGCUAGAGGAGCGGUGUCCUGCGGCUUAGGACAGCAGCUCGGAUUGGCACCAUUUCUGAACUCCAGGAAGAUGUGA